Molecule: ribosomal RNA, 117 nt
Filed under: Pseudomonas sp. zfem002
Lineage: Bacteria; Pseudomonadati; Pseudomonadota; Gammaproteobacteria; Pseudomonadales; Pseudomonadaceae
Source: RNAcentral
AUUCGCGAGCCUGGAGCCGACGAUGCCACCUGAUCCCAUCCCGAACUCAGUAGUGAAACGACGCAUCGCCGAUGGUAGUGUGGAGCUUCUCCAUGUGAGAGUAGGUCAUCGUCAAGA